RNAcentral lists this long non-coding RNA (725 nucleotides) under Mytilus galloprovincialis (Mediterranean mussel). The record is from RNAcentral. Lineage: Eukaryota; Metazoa; Mollusca; Bivalvia; Mytilida; Mytilidae.
AUGUUAUUUUACAUUAUAAAAAUUAUAUUAAAAAUAGAUAAUAAUAAUUUGAAGAUAUUUUGAUAUGAAAAUAGGUUAAGUAAUGACUAGUAAUUCUUUUACUAAGUAAUUCCGAUCAAAUUUUUUAAGCAAUGUAUUUUGUAUAAAUAGUGUUGUGCGCAGCACAGUACAUUCUAUUGAAAAGGUGUUAUCUACUUUGGAAUAGAAAGUGUUGGGCGCCACACUGAACCUUAAAAUACAGAAUAUACAUGAAAUUUAUAAAAAAUUUCAAGCACAGGAAAUUAUGCAAAUUCCAUAUAAUUAAAAAUAUUUCCAAGUUGAAAUAAUUGCCUGUUUAAAGAAAAUUGUUAUCCAAAAUUAUGCAAUUUUCAGACUUCAACCUACAUAUUGUUGAAAUUGUUAAAUUAUGGAGUCAAAUUUCAUAGAAAGCAUUUAUUAUUAUAAUAUAAUAAGCCUUAUGCAUGAAAACAACAUGAUAUAGUGCCUUAACCUACUUAGUAAUAACAAGUUUUAUAUCCAUGUUAUCAGAAGUAAUUCAUAUAUAUACAGAUGCAUGUAUACAUGUCAAAUACAUUGUAAUUCUUGAAUUUGUACAAAACAAAUAAUAAUAAGCAAUUUGUAUCCAGAAAUCAAUUUACAAGACCUAAACUCACAAUCAAGACAUUAUUACAGCAAAUGGCUAGAUACCAAACACCAAAUUGAUAUCAAUCAAAUUGAAAUCUUAU